RNAcentral lists this ribosomal RNA (465 nucleotides) under Vreelandella stevensii. RNAcentral describes it as "partial 16S ribosomal RNA". It matches the Rfam family "Bacterial small subunit ribosomal RNA", at positions 338 to 795 of the family's 1533-position model. The record is from RNAcentral. Lineage: Bacteria; Pseudomonadati; Pseudomonadota; Gammaproteobacteria; Oceanospirillales; Halomonadaceae.
CCUACGGGAGGCUGCAGUGGGGAAUAUUGGACAAUGGGGGGAACCCUGAUCCAGCCAUGCCGCGUGUGUGAAGAAGGCCCUCGGGUUGUAAAGCACUUUCAGUGAGGAAGAACGCCUGGUGGUUAAUACCCAUCAGGAAAGACAUCACUCACAGAAGAAGCACCGGCUAACUCCGUGCCAGCAGCCGCGGUAAUACGGAGGGUGCGAGCGUUAAUCGGAAUUACUGGGCGUAAAGCGCGCGUAGGUGGCUUGAUAAGCCGGUUGUGAAAGCCCCGGGCUCAACCUGGGAACGGCAGCCGGAACUGUCAAGCUAGAGUGCAGGAGAGGAAGGUAGAAUUCCCGGUGUAGCGGUGAAAUGUGUAGAGAUCGGGAGGAAUACCAGUGGCGAAGGCGGCCUUCUGGACUGACACUGACACUGAGGUGCGAAAGCGUGGGUAGCAAACAGGAUUAGAUACCCUGGUAGUC